Molecule: ribosomal RNA, 484 nt
Filed under: uncultured bacterium
Lineage: Bacteria
Description: partial 16S ribosomal RNA
Rfam family: Bacterial small subunit ribosomal RNA
Source: RNAcentral
AUUGAACGCUGGCGGCAGGCCUAACACAUGCAAGUCGAGCGGAUGAAGGGAGCUUGCUCCUGGAUUCAGCGGCGGACGGGUGAGUAAUGCCUAGGAAUCUGCCUGGUAGUGGGGGAUAACGUCCGGAAACGGGCGCUAAUACCGCAUACGUCCUGAGGGAGAAAGUGGGGGAUCUUCGGACCUCACGCUAUCAGAUGAGCCUAGGUCGGAUUAGCUAGUUGGUGGGGUAAAGGCCUACCAAGGCGACGAUCCGUAACUGGUCUGAGAGGAUGAACAGUCACACUGGAACUGAGACACGGUCCAGACUCCUACGGGAGGCAGCAGUGGGGAAUAUUGGACAAUGGGCGAAAGCCUGAUCCAGCCAUGCCGCGUGUGUGAAGAAGGUCUUCGGAUUGUAAAGCACUUUAAGUUGGGAGGAAGGGCAGUAAGUUAAUACCUUGCUGCUUUGACGUUACCAACAGAAUAAGCACCGGCUAACUUCGUG